CGUGGUUAACCUGCCCUUGGGACGGAAACACCCCCGGGAAACUGGGGCUAAUUUCCGAUAGGUGAAGACUUCUGGAAUGGAUCUUCGCCUAAAGGGCGCCUAGGCCAUGCUUCUAAGCGCUGCCCAAGGAUGGGACCGCGGCCGAUCAGGUUGUUGGUGAGGUAAUGGCUCACCAAGCCUUUAACCGGUUCGGGCCGUGGGAGCGGGAGCCCGGAGAUGGGCACUGAGACAAGGGCCCAGGUCCUACGGGGCGCAGCAGUCGCGAAAACUCCGCAAUACGCGAAGGCGUGACGGGGCUAUCCCGAGUGCCGUCCGCUGAGGAUGGCUUUUCCCCAGUGUAGAUAGCUGGGGGAAUAAGGAGAGGGCAAGUCUGGUGUCAGCCGCCGCGGUAAUACCAGCUCUCCGAGUGGUGGGGACGAUUAUUGGGCCUAAAGCAUCCGUAGCCAGCUGAGCAAGUCCCCAGUUAAAUCCAGCGAUUUAAUCGUUGGACUGCUGGGGAUACUGUCCGGCUAGGGGGUGGGAGAGGCCGACGGUAUUCCCGGGGUAGGGGUGAAAUCCUAUAAUCCCGGGAGGACCACCAGUGGCGAAGGCUGUUGGCUAAAACAUGCCCGACGGUGAGGGAUGAAAGCUGGGGGAGCGAACCGGAUUAGAUACCCGGGUAGUCCCAGCUGU
This 672-nucleotide ribosomal RNA is filed under the name uncultured archaeon. RNAcentral's name for it is "bacterial SSU rRNA". It matches the Rfam family "Archaeal small subunit ribosomal RNA", at positions 99 to 754 of the family's 1478-position model. The record is from RNAcentral.